UGUGCAUGUGUGUAUAGUUGUGUGC
RNAcentral lists this microRNA (25 nucleotides) under Mus musculus (house mouse). RNAcentral describes it as "mmu-miR-669k-5p". Its record names the gene mmu-miR-669k-5p. The record is from miRBase by way of RNAcentral. Lineage: Eukaryota; Metazoa; Chordata; Mammalia; Rodentia; Muridae.